This 419-nucleotide ribosomal RNA is filed under the name uncultured bacterium. RNAcentral describes it as "bacterial SSU rRNA". It matches the Rfam family "Bacterial small subunit ribosomal RNA", at positions 32 to 479 of the family's 1533-position model. The record is from RNAcentral.
AAUCAACGCUGGCGGCGUGCCUAACACAUGCAAGUCGAACGAGAAAGUGGAGCAAUCCACAAGUAAAGUGGCGCACGGGUGAGUAACACGUGACUAACCUACCCUUGAGUGGGGGAUAACCUAGGGAAACCUGGGCUAAUACCGCAUAAUACCUAUGGGUCAAAGGAGCAAUUCGCUUUUGGAGGGGGUCGCGGCAGAUUAGUUAGUUGGCAGGGUAAUGGCCUACCAAGACGAUGANCUGUAUCCGGCCUGAGAGGGCGCACGGACACACUGGAACUGAAACACGGUCCAGACUCCUACGGGAGGCAGCAGUGGGGAAUUUUGCGCAAUGGGGGAAACCCUGACGCAGCAACGCCGCGUGGAGGAUGAAGACCCUUGGGUCGUAAACUCCUUUCGAUCGGGACGAUAAUGACGGUACC